RNAcentral lists this ribosomal RNA (253 nucleotides) under uncultured bacterium. Its description in RNAcentral is "partial 16S ribosomal RNA". It matches the Rfam family "Bacterial small subunit ribosomal RNA", at positions 524 to 776 of the family's 1533-position model. The record is from RNAcentral.
UACAGAGGUCUCAAGCGUUGUUCGGAUUCAUUGGGCGUAAAGGGUGCGUAGGCGGUGCGGUAAGUCGGGUGUGAAAUCUCGGAGCUUAACUCCGAAACUGCAUUCGAUACUGCCGUGCUUGAGGACUGGAGAGGAGACUGGAAUUUAUGGUGUAGCAGUGAAAUGCGUAGAUAUCGUAAGGAAGACCAGUGGCGAAGGCGAGUCUCUGGACAGUUACCGACGCUGAGGCACGAAGGUCAGGGGAGCAAACGGG